RNAcentral lists this ribosomal RNA (696 nucleotides) under Triticum aestivum (bread wheat). RNAcentral describes it as "partial small subunit ribosomal RNA". The record is from RNAcentral. Lineage: Eukaryota; Viridiplantae; Streptophyta; Magnoliopsida; Poales; Poaceae.
GAGGUUGCAGCUUGGGAUGUCCUCCUCCAGGACAUCGCCCUCCUCCCUAUGGACGUCGCCGACACCCCGGACGCCAUCUCCUGGCGCCUGGAACCCGCCGGCUGCUUCUCCACCAAAUCUCUCUACGCGGCCAUCGCCCCCUCGACGGCCCCCGAGCCCUUCAGUUUGAUCUGGGACAUCCGCCUGCCCCUGAAGAUCAGGAUCUUCCUGUGGCAAUGGAUUUGCGGCCGCCUCCCGUCCGGCGUAGAGGUCCUUAAGCGUAAUGGACCUGGAGAUGGGAUGUGCCCCAUGUGCGGCACGGUAGAGGAUGCCAACCAUAUCUUCUUCUCGUGCUCCACGGCACAGUUCGUUUGGUCCUGUUUCCGCGAAAAGUUGGGGGCCAGUGGUGCAACACCAACUUCCCUGACCUGCUUGCGGAAAUUCAGGCUUCCCCCUCGCUACAGGCAUAUUAGAUGGCUUUGCAUUGGGGUCCUUGCCUGGACACUUUGGACCAUACGCAAUAAGCUUGUCAUACGGAAGGUGCCUCUUCGACGUGCUACUGACUCCAUUUUUAAAAUGUGUGGAUAUUUGCAGCUCUGGCGGCCGCUUAGCCGCCCCCAGGACCGGGACGUCAUCAACACCCUCCUCGCCGACCUUCGCUCAAUGGCCUUCCGCUUGGCGCCUCCGCUCCCUCCGCCACCCCCGGAGCCCGACUAG